UGAGGAAUAUUGGUCAAUGGGCGAGAGCCUGAACCAGCCAAGUAGCGUGAAGGAUGAAGGUCCUAUGGAUUGUAAACUUCUUUUAUAGUAGAAUAAAGUGACCCACGUGUGGGUUUUUGUAUGUAUACUAUGAAUAAGGAUCGGCUAACUCCGUGCCAGCAGCCGCGGUAAUACGGAGGAUCCGAGCGUUAUCCGGAUUUAUUGGGUUUAAAGGGUGCGUAGGCGGAAUAAUAAGUCAGUUGUGAAAGUUUGCGGCUCAACCGUAAAAUUGCAGUUGAUACUGUUAUUCUUGAGUGUACAUAAGGUAGGCGGAAUUCGUGGUGUAGCGGUGAAAUGCUUAGAUAUCACGAAGAACUCCAAUUGCGAAGGCAGCUUACCGGGGUACAACUGACGCUGAGGC
Molecule: ribosomal RNA, 400 nt
Filed under: uncultured bacterium
Lineage: Bacteria
Description: bacterial SSU rRNA
Rfam family: Bacterial small subunit ribosomal RNA
Source: RNAcentral